RNAcentral lists this long non-coding RNA (868 nucleotides) under Camponotus floridanus (Florida carpenter ant). Its description in RNAcentral is "uncharacterized LOC112638281, transcript variant X1". Lineage: Eukaryota; Metazoa; Arthropoda; Insecta; Hymenoptera; Formicidae. The record is from RNAcentral.
UUGCUUGUCAGUCAUUCACAUUUAUUAAAAAUAGUCACUUUAUUAAAUAAUGUGAGAAACUAUAUUUUUUGCGAACAGACCUGAAGAUAAAUUAUGAAAGGGUGUGACAAGUAUCAGUAAUGCAGGAAGACGCAGAGGUAGAGUAAGAAGAGUAGUGAAAAGAGAGAGCUCCUAAAUAAGGAGCAAAUUAAUGUCAUGGGAAAAAUUCUGAUACAAUUUCCUGGUCUAAACACUCCUGUGUUUAGAGGAAAAGAAUUAAUUCAACAGCAAAAACUUAUGGAAUUACCACAAAGUCAGACCAGACCAAUGCAAAUAAAAUUAUCGCCAUUGGAAUUUGGUUGGACGAGUGUUACAAUGGAUGGUAGAAGCAUUGAAUCAGUUCUUAUUGGAAAAGAUUAAUAUUUAUGCUAUUAUUGGAUUAUAAUGGUUAAAUCACACACAUACGAAAAUCAUAUACAUUUGAAAGUUUUGAAACCCGGAUUUUGGAAAACAAAAUGAUAACUUGUAUGACCGGUAAUUUAGCACGUAAGACUAGAAUCAGUUCAUUUAUAGUAACUGGAAAUGGAAAUGGAUUAGCUGGAUUUGCGUUAUCAAAAGCUAAAGCAUCCCUAAAGACGGUUAAAAAUAGGAUCAAAGACUAAUGUAUAUUCCUACAUAUAAGGAAUACACUGUGUUACAUGAUUUCUUUACACAGUUUGAGAAUAUAAAAAUAUUUGUAAAGAAAAUUCGUGAAGGAUAAUGGGCUUGUUUGUCAUCAUGCGAUAAAAGCGUGUUGCGAGAUAAUUGGCAUAAAGGAUAUGUAUGCCAAAGUACAGGGAGGAAUGUAAAAGCAUUCUUUGGUUGAUUUAUUGCAAUAGAUAUUUCUAUU